RNAcentral lists this ribosomal RNA (194 nucleotides) under uncultured bacterium. Its description in RNAcentral is "partial 16S ribosomal RNA". It matches the Rfam family "Bacterial small subunit ribosomal RNA", at positions 336 to 523 of the family's 1533-position model. The record is from RNAcentral.
CUCCUACGGGAGGCAGCAGUGGGGAAUUUUGGACAAUGGGGGCAACCCUGAUCCAGCCAUGCCGCGUGAGUGAAGAAGGCCUUCGGGUUGUAAAGCUCUUUCAGUUGAGAAGAAAAGAUUGUGACUAAUAAUUGCAAUUCAUGACGGUAUCAACAGAAGAAGCACCGGCUAACUACGUGCCAGCGCCGCGGUAA